Molecule: ribosomal RNA, 459 nt
Filed under: uncultured bacterium
Lineage: Bacteria
Description: partial 16S ribosomal RNA
Rfam family: Bacterial small subunit ribosomal RNA
Source: RNAcentral
CCUACGGGGGGCAGCAGUGAGGAAUAUUGGUCAAUGGCCGCAGGGCUGAACCAGCCAAGUCGCGUGAGGGAUGACGGUCCUAUGGAUUGUAAACCUCUUUUGUCAGGGAGCAAAGGGCGCCACGUGUGGCGCUUUGCGAGUACCUGAAGAAAAAGCAUCGGCUAACUCCGUGCCAGCAGCCGCGGUAAUACGGAGGAUGCGAGGGUUAUCCGGUUUUAUUGGGUUUAAAGGGGGCGCAGGCGGAAUGUCAAGUCAGCGGUAAAAUUUCGGGGCUCAACCCCGUCGUGCCGUUGAAACUGGCGUUCUUGAGUGAGCGAGAAGUAUGCGGAAUGCGUGGUGUAGCGGUGAAAUGCAUAGAUAUCACGCAGAACUCCGAUUGCGAAGGCAGCAUACCGGCGCUCAACUGACGCUGAUGCACGAAAGCGUGGGUAUCGAACAGGAUUAGAUACCCCUGUAGUC